UGACGAAAAACUAAAAAAGGAAGAUGUUGCCUUCAGAAGUUCUGAUAUUUGUUUAGUUAUGAAGUGGAAAGAUAGAAGGGAUGUAACCAUGAUCAUCACUAUGCACGAAAACAAAAUGAUAACUUUGGACAGGAUCGACCGUGCCACAAACGAGAAUGUCAAGAAACCAAUGUGUGUUGUGGAUUAUAAUAGUAAAAUGGGUGCCGUGGACCGUUCGGAUAUGCUCAUUAGCAGCAUUGACAGCUUGCGUAAGUCUAUCAAAUGGUACAAGAAAUUGUUUAUUCACACCCUGGACAUAUGUGUACUCAAUUCCCAUGGAAUGUUCUCUACAAAACAUCCUAUUAAAUAUCCACUUGCGAAGUUUCAACUGAACCUUAUACGUCAACUUCUGGAAAGAUACGGACAAGUGAAUAAACCCAUACCCAUGUCUGCUGAAACAAAUUCAAGAUUGUCUGAAAGGCACUUUCUAACCUUAGUACCUGCCACUGACAAGUCCAAAAGUGCUUCAAGAAGGUGCAUUGUCUGUUCCCAGACAAAGCUAGGCCAAAAGAAGCGAAGGGUGUCUAGAUAUAUGUGUAAAGACUGCGAUGUGGGAUUAUGCGUGGUUUCAUUUUCCAAGAAUUUCACACUAAAGCCAAAUUUUGAAUAUUUCAAAUAAAUUAGUUGUUUACUUUUGAUACUGUUUUAGUUUAAGUUGUUUUUAGUUUUAAGUUGGUUUUUGGGCAGACAAUAAACAUUAUUUAUUUA
Anthonomus grandis grandis is the source of this 747-nucleotide long non-coding RNA. RefSeq lists it as uncharacterized. The transcript has 2 exons. The record is from RefSeq and is a predicted model, not a curated record. Lineage: Eukaryota; Metazoa; Arthropoda; Insecta; Coleoptera; Curculionidae.